AUCCUCCUUGAGGCAGCAGUAGGGAAUCUUCCACAAUGGGCGAAAGCCUGAUUUAUCCCCUCCUCGUGUUUUAAGAAGGUCUUCGGAUCGUAAAACCCUGUUGUUAGAGAAGAAAGUGCGUGAGAGUAACUGUUCACGUUUCGACGGUAUCUAACCAGAAAGCCACGGCUAACUACGUGCCAGCAGCCGCGGUAAUACGUAGGUGGCAAGCGUUAUCCGGAUUUAUUGGGCGUAAAGGGAACGCAGGCGGUCUUUUAAGUCUGAUGUGAAAGCCUUCGGCUUAACCGGAGUAGUGCAUUGGAAAA
Molecule: ribosomal RNA, 305 nt
Filed under: uncultured bacterium
Lineage: Bacteria
Description: bacterial SSU rRNA
Rfam family: Bacterial small subunit ribosomal RNA
Source: RNAcentral